GUCUACUUUCAAUAAAAUAUCUAAGUAUGAAGCAGAAGUGGACGACUCUGUGGUGUCCUUUAUUUCGAGCUCACAGGGAUAUAUCAAAUCGACAUAUGAAUGAAAGCUAUCAUUGUUAAUAGACAAAACGUCAUCAAUAUAUCUAAAAGUCGAAUUGAAGGUCACAGCGAGAGAUUUUUUCUUCUCACGUAGAAGUUUUUGAAUAAAUUCUGCUUCAUAUGAAUAUAAAAACAGGUCAGCUAACAAAGGAGCACAAUUCGUGCCCAAGGGAAUUCCAACAGACUGUUGGAAGACCUGAUCACCAAAGACCACGAAGAUAUUGUCAAUGAGGAACUCUAGCAUAUUUUUUAUUUCAACUUCAGAGUACUUGUGCGUGGAAUCAGAGUGGUGUUUAACAAAUGUACUUUUUGGGGACUUUGAGUGAUUCACCACCCUUUGAACAAAUGUAUUUUGAGAUCCUCAAAGGAAUCCUAGAUUUUCAAGAAGCCAUAUAUGUUUUAAUUGCUGCCCAUCAAAUAGUACAGUGUCUUUGUGUAAAUUAAAUUUAUUUUGAGGAAAUAGCUGGUGUGCAGUGCACAUUCCUAAAUGAAUUCAUCAGUUUACAUUAAGGAUCUACCUUCAAAUCCUGUAAUCUGGGAUGCUCUAAAGUGCAUGUCACGGACUAAAGUUAUAAAAAUAACUUCCAAUUGCAAGA
Long non-coding RNA from Ostrea edulis (European flat oyster), 694 nucleotides. RefSeq lists it as uncharacterized. The transcript is spliced from 4 exons. The record is from RefSeq and is a predicted model, not a curated record. NCBI's taxonomy places the organism in Eukaryota, Metazoa, Mollusca, Bivalvia, Ostreida, Ostreidae.